GAGGGGAGGUGGGAUAAUCCCUCGUUGCAAGUGUGGUGAUUUAUUUGGUGGCUUAUUUGGUGCAUAACAGGAUGGAUCUUCAAGAGGCAUGUACUGUAACUUUUUCAAAUGGUACUGAAGAAAAUAAUGAGGAAAGAGAUGAUGAAAUGGUCAAACAAAGGAGGAGAAUUUGUGAUCUAGAAAUUUUAGUCCAGAAGUAGCAGAAAAGGAUAAACAACAAAAUCAAAUUAAACCCUAACCGCCAAAUUUAUACUCCCAAAUUCGACGGAAAAUAUUUAAAUAACAAAUUUAUAUCUCCAAAAUCAUCAUCAAUUGAACAAAAUACGCAUAUUUAACACGAAAUCCAAUUAAACCCUAAUCCCCAAAUUUAUAGUCCCAAAUUCAACAAAAAAAUAUUUAAACAAAUUUAUACCCUCAAAAUCAUCGUCAAUCAAAGAAAAUACCUAUAUUUAACACAAAUUCAAAUUAAACCCUAACCCCCAAAUAAAACAACAAAAAUAUCAACUAAUUAGGUUUAGAUUAGGACCACUUACCUCACGUAUGUAUAAUGUUUCACUUAUACCUUCAAAGAAUCAAC
Molecule: long non-coding RNA, 577 nt
Filed under: Vigna radiata
Lineage: Eukaryota; Viridiplantae; Streptophyta; Magnoliopsida; Fabales; Fabaceae
Description: long non-coding RNA (VRAD_LNC003148)
Source: RNAcentral